GACGAACGCUGGCGGCGUGCUUAACACAUGCAAGUCGAACGGAAAGGCCCUGCUUUUGUGGGGUGCUCGAGUGGCGAACGGGUGAGUAACACGUGAGUAACCUGCCCUUGACUUUGGGAUAACUUCAGGAAACUGGGGCUAAUACCGGAUAGGAGCUCCUGCUGCAUGGUGGGGGUUGGAAAGUUUCGGCGGUUGGGGAUGGACUCGCGGCUUAUCAGCUUGUUGGUGGGGUAGUGGCUUACCAAGGCUUUGACGGGUAGCCGGCCUGAGAGGGUGACCGGCCACAAUGGGACUGAGAUACGGCCCAGACUCCUACGGGAGGCAGCAGUGGGAAAUAUUGCACAAUGGGCGGAAGCCUGAUGCAGCAACGCCGCGUGCGGGAUGACGGCCUUCGGGUUGUAAACCGCUUUCGCCUGUGACGAAGCGUGAGUGACGGUAAUGAGUAAAGAAGCACCGGCUAACUACGUG
Molecule: ribosomal RNA, 468 nt
Filed under: uncultured bacterium
Lineage: Bacteria
Description: partial 16S ribosomal RNA
Rfam family: Bacterial small subunit ribosomal RNA
Source: RNAcentral